CCUACGGGUGGCAGCAGUGAGGAAUAUUGGUCAAUGGGCGGAAGCCUGAACCAGCCAAGUAGCGUGCAGGAUGACGGCCCUACGGGUUGUAAACUGCUUUUAUACGGGAAUAACGCGCCUUACGUGUAGGGCUUUGCAUGUACCGUAUGAAUAAGGACCGGCUAAUUCCGUGCCAGCAGCCGCGGUAAUACGGAAGGUCCGGGCGUUAUCCGGAUUUAUUGGGUUUAAAGGGAGCGUAGGCCGCAUGUCAAGCGUGCUGUGAAAUGUCCGGGCUCAACCCGGGCCUUGCAGCGCGAACUGGCGUGCUGGAGUCCGCGGAAAGCAGGCGGAAUUCGUCGUGUAGCGGUGAAAUGCAUAGAUAUGGCGCAGAACUCCGAUUGCGAAGGCAGCAUGCCGGCUCCACACUGACGCUGAGGCACGAAAGCGUGGGUAUCGAACAGGAUUAGAUACCCUUGUAGUC
RNAcentral lists this ribosomal RNA (460 nucleotides) under uncultured bacterium. RNAcentral's name for it is "partial 16S ribosomal RNA". It matches the Rfam family "Bacterial small subunit ribosomal RNA", at positions 338 to 795 of the family's 1533-position model. The record is from RNAcentral.